Molecule: transfer RNA, 56 nt
Filed under: Ancylostoma duodenale
Lineage: Eukaryota; Metazoa; Nematoda; Chromadorea; Rhabditida; Ancylostomatidae
Description: tRNA-Leu1
Source: RNAcentral
ACAUAAAUAGUAUAUUAAAUAUAUUAGGUUUAGAUUCUAAAGAAAUUAUUUAUGUU